This 150-nucleotide non-coding RNA is filed under the name uncultured Mesocricetibacter sp. RNAcentral describes it as "Moco (molybdenum cofactor) riboswitch". It matches the Rfam family "Molybdenum/Tungsten riboswitch aptamer (Moco RNA motif)". The record is from RNAcentral. Lineage: Bacteria; Pseudomonadati; Pseudomonadota; Gammaproteobacteria; Pasteurellales; Pasteurellaceae.
CGCAUAACUCCGAGCUUUUUUACCUACGUUUCUAUCCAAACAUGUUUUUGUUUAAAAAUAAGGUAACUAAGCCAGUAACGUAGUAAGUUACUCAGGGAUAGCAAGGAAACGAACUAUCCUCUCCAUAUUUAGAAAGGUGUGAAAUGCAAU